GCCUGGCUGGCUUAGUCCAUAAAGCAUGAGAUUCUUGAUCUCAGGAUCAUGGGUUUGAGUCCCAUGUUGGGCU
This 73-nucleotide transfer RNA is filed under the name Mustela putorius furo (domestic ferret). It matches the Rfam family "tRNA". From Rfam's summary of the family: Transfer RNA (tRNA) molecules are approximately 80 nucleotides in length. Their secondary structure includes four short double-helical elements and three loops (D, anti-codon, and T loops). Lineage: Eukaryota; Metazoa; Chordata; Mammalia; Carnivora; Mustelidae. RNAcentral also lists the same sequence under 2 other names. The record is from Rfam by way of RNAcentral.